Molecule: long non-coding RNA, 635 nt
Organism: Salvelinus sp. IW2-2015
Lineage: Eukaryota; Metazoa; Chordata; Actinopteri; Salmoniformes; Salmonidae
Source: RefSeq, a predicted model, not a curated record
UGCAGAGAGAGACCAGCUACAGACCAGAUACAACAACCUGACUGAAGAGAGAGACCAGCUACAGACCAGAUACAACACCCUGACCAAAGAGAGCUACCAGCUACAGAAAGAGAUAGUACYUCUGAAACAAUCUACAGUUGAGAAAGUGUGUCCGCGAGGUUGGAAGAAGCUUGGUAGCAGUUGUUACUACGUCUCUACUGAGUACAAAUCCUGGGAGGAGAGCAGACAGGACUGCAGAUAUAGAGGAGCAGACCUGGUGGUUAUCAAGAGCCAAGAACAACAGACAUUAGUCAACUGGUUUAUGUGGAGUGUAUGACUAUGUCUGGAUUGGUCUGACUGACUCUGUUACUGAGGGGACCUGGAAAUGGGUGGACGACACACGACUGACCACAACGUAUUGGAACAGUGGAGAGCCUAAAUGGUGGAAGAGCUGAGAACUGUGUGUAUUUCUACUCCUCGUCAUCAGACACCGGAGCUUGGUGGGACUAUUACUGUUACUAUAAAUACAGAUGGAUCUGUGAGAAAUAGGAUUCAUCCUCUGUACUCUCUAAACUGCUAAAUAAGAUUUUGCUAAGUACUAUCAAUGAGAAACUAUUUUCUGCUUAUUCAAUAUACUUGUAAGUCAUACAAUAUAA